AUACGGAAGGUGCGAGCGUUAUCCGGAAUCACUGGGUUUAAAGGGUGCGUAGGCGGCAUGAUAAGUCAGAGGUGAAAGCCCUCAGCUUAACUGAGGAAUUGCCUUUGAUACUGUUGUGCUUGAAAGGGGAUGAGGUGAGCGGAAUGUGGCAUGUAACGGUGAAAUGUGUAGAUAUGCCAUAGAACACCGAUUGCGAAGGCAGCUCACUGGGCCUACUUUGACGCUGAGGCACGAAAGCGUGGGGAGCGAACAGGAUUAGAAACCCUAGUAGUCCC
RNAcentral lists this ribosomal RNA (275 nucleotides) under uncultured bacterium. Its description in RNAcentral is "partial 16S ribosomal RNA". It matches the Rfam family "Bacterial small subunit ribosomal RNA", at positions 523 to 797 of the family's 1533-position model. The record is from RNAcentral.